GUGGGGACUCUAUUCAGACUGCCUGCGCAAGCAGAGAGGAAGGAGGGGACGACGUCAAGUCAUCAUGGCCCUUACGCCCGGGGCUACACACGUGCUACAAUGGCUAUUACAGAGGGUAGCGACUGAGUGAUCAGUAGCCAAUCUCAAAAAGAUAGUCACAGUUCGGAUUGAAGGCUGCAACUCGCCUUCAUGAAGCUGGAAUCGCUAGUAAUCGCGCAUCAGCAAUGGCGCGGUGAAUACGUUCCCGGACCUUGUACACACCGCCCGUCAAGCCAUGGAAGCUGGGGUGACCUGAAGUCGGCAGGUACAGUGCCGAUAAGGGUAAAACCGGUGACUGGGGCUAAGUCGUAACAAGGUAGCCGUACCGGAAGGUGUGGCUGGAACACCUCCUUU
Molecule: ribosomal RNA, 393 nt
Filed under: Xanthocytophaga flava
Lineage: Bacteria; Pseudomonadati; Bacteroidota; Cytophagia; Cytophagales; Rhodocytophagaceae
Description: bacterial SSU rRNA
Rfam family: Bacterial small subunit ribosomal RNA
Source: RNAcentral